UCGGGCUUGAACCUGGCAUACAAUGUAGAUUUCUGUGUUUGUUAAGCAACAGCUACAUUGUCUGCUGGGUUUCAGGCUACCUG
Molecule: microRNA precursor, 83 nt
Filed under: Eptesicus fuscus (big brown bat)
Lineage: Eukaryota; Metazoa; Chordata; Mammalia; Chiroptera; Vespertilionidae
Description: microRNA efu-mir-221 precursor
Gene: efu-mir-221
Rfam family: mir-221 microRNA precursor family
Source: miRBase by way of RNAcentral